GGCAAUUUUCAAUUCUAUACUUCAAUAAAACUUUCAGAAAUAUUAGGUAUUGCCAUCAUUUAAUGAAUAUAAAAAUUCAUAUGCUUUAAGAAAAAUAAAACAAUGCUUCUUACUUAGGUUGAUAUCUUUUGUAGCAAGUGUUCAAAGCAAUGAUGUUCUUGUCAAUUUUGUGCCACAAUUUUCAACUCUCUUCAUGUAUAUUAAGAGAUGGGAUCAUAAAGUGCUUCAAUAUUUAUAGGCAAAAAGUGUCCUUUUAACCUGUCACAUGUUUUUUCUACACAUUUGUACAGGUAUUUAUACAAUUAUUUGUUCAUGUAAAUUUUGAACAGCUGAAUACUAAAUGUGGUCAGAAUUUGUCCCUGUCACAAGUGUACAUUUUGCAAGAAAGUUAUUUUAAAUUUUUCAUAAGAUAGAAUUUUCAAGGUUUUACAUCAUUUUCUUCAAACCAUUAAUGCUUAUCACUAGAUGUACUGAAAAUUUGAUGCCAAAACCUUGUGAACUUUUUUUGCAAGACAAAUAUUGCAUUGUACCAAGUGUACGAAUUUUUUAUCAUGUUUGAUGGACAGGUGAUAGCUUUUAAAAAAUAAACAAAGGCACUAAUUUUCUGGAAAGAAGUACACAGAAGAUGUAAUCUCCAAGAGAAAAAGGUGUUGUCUUCACUCUGGGGGUUAACUACUCUUAUUAUAUGGGUGGACUUCAAUAUGUAUGAUCUACUUAUGCUGCCACAAUGUAAAGGCAACAAUCACUGGGUUUUGCUGUUUGCAAGUGUUAUGUCCAGGACUGUAACCAUUUACGACUCGUUGGGUGGUAACAACAAGGCAUUGUUCGAUUUGUUCUGCCAGUUCAUGUGUCAACGAGCGCAAAUUGUGAACGAUGGCUUGGAAAAAAUUCAGUUCAGAGUUCAAAGCGCCACCUUGCAACAAACAGCGCCAUGGAAACAGCUGUGGAGUGUUUGCAUUGAUGACUGCCAAAUGUAUGGUCAUGAAAAAGCAUCCCACAAUGUUGCGACAGGCCCAUGAUUCAGCUUAUCAAGACUAGUCGUGAGACGCAGACUUCUGAUUCAUGGAGUGCGGCAAACAUAUCUGUGUGACUCGAUCACUCCACUGUAAAGACCCGCACGGCAUUAAAAUGGAUAUUAUCAAUAUGUGUUGUUGCUCGAAAAUAUGUUUUGUAGCAGGAAGUGCUUUGGGCUCGAUUAAUCUGAGAACUCAACAAAAUAUUAAUAAAAUCCUUCUGUGCCUUUUAGUUCUGAAAACAGAAGUAGCCAGUUGGUAUUACACAUCUCCUAAACAAGUACAGCACAAUAAAACUGAAGGUUUUAAAUCCUACAUUU
Molecule: long non-coding RNA, 1333 nt
Organism: Dreissena polymorpha
Lineage: Eukaryota; Metazoa; Mollusca; Bivalvia; Myida; Dreissenidae
Exons: 4
Source: RefSeq, a predicted model, not a curated record